RNAcentral lists this transfer RNA (76 nucleotides) under Syntrophales bacterium. RNAcentral's name for it is "tRNA-Lys". It matches the Rfam family "tRNA". From Rfam's summary of the family: Transfer RNA (tRNA) molecules are approximately 80 nucleotides in length. Their secondary structure includes four short double-helical elements and three loops (D, anti-codon, and T loops). The record is from RNAcentral. Lineage: Bacteria; Pseudomonadati; Thermodesulfobacteriota; Syntrophia; Syntrophales.
GGGCCGUUAGCUCAGAUGGUAGAGCAGCGGACUUUUAAUCCGUUGGUCGCGGGUUCAAAUCCCGCACGGCCCACCA